Molecule: ribosomal RNA, 253 nt
Filed under: uncultured bacterium
Lineage: Bacteria
Description: partial 16S ribosomal RNA
Rfam family: Bacterial small subunit ribosomal RNA
Source: RNAcentral
UACGGAGGGGACUAGCGUUGUUCGGAAUUACUGGGCGUAAAGCGCACGUAGGCGGAUUUGUAAGUCAGGGGUGAAAUCCCGGGGCUCAACCUCGGAACUGCCUUUGAUACUGCAAAUCUCGAGUCCGGAAGAGGUGAGUGGAAUUCCUAGUGUAGAGGUGAAAUUCGUAGAGAUUAGGAAGAACACCAGUGGCGAAGGCGGCUCACUGGUCCGGUUCUGACGCUGAGGUGCGAAAGAGUGGGGAGCAAACAGG